UACGUAGGUGGCAAGCGUUGUCCGGAAUUAUUGGGCGUAAAGCGCGCGCAGGCGGUUCGUUAAGUCUGGUGUGAAAGUCCCCGGCUCAACCGUGGAAGGUCAUUGGAAACUGGGGAACUUGAGGGCAGAAGAGGAAAGUGGAAUUCCUCGUGUAGCGGUGAAAUGCGUAGAGAUGUGGAGGAACACCAGUGGCGAAGGCGACUUUCUGGUCUGUAACUGACGCUGAGGCGCGAAAGCGUGGGGAGCAAACAGG
Molecule: unclassified non-coding RNA, 253 nt
Filed under: uncultured Caryophanales bacterium
Lineage: Bacteria; Bacillati; Bacillota; Bacilli; Caryophanales
Description: uncultured Bacillales bacterium contains 16S-23S intergenic spacer region
Rfam family: Bacterial small subunit ribosomal RNA
Source: RNAcentral